This 253-nucleotide ribosomal RNA is filed under the name uncultured bacterium. RNAcentral's name for it is "partial 16S ribosomal RNA". It matches the Rfam family "Bacterial small subunit ribosomal RNA", at positions 524 to 776 of the family's 1533-position model. The record is from RNAcentral.
UACGGGGGGGGUAAGCGUUGUUCGGAAUUACUGGGCGUAAAGGGCUCGUAGGCGGCCAACUAAGUCAGACGUGAAAUCCCUCGGCUUAACCGGGGAACUGCGUCUGAUACUGGAUGGCUUGAAUCCGGGAGAGGGAUGCGGAAUUCCAGGUGUAGCGGUGAAAUGCGUAGAUAUCUGGAGGAACACCGAUGGCGAAGGCAGGUCUCUGGGCCAUUACUGACACUGAGAAGCGAAAGCAUGGGGAGCGAACAGG